GGUGAAUUUAAGCCCCAGUAAACGGCGGUGGUAACUAUAACCAUCCUAAGGUAGCGAAAUUCCUUGUCGGGUAAGUUCCGACCUGCACGAAUGGCGUAACGACUUCCCUACUGUCUCAACCAUGAGCUCGGCGAAAUUGCACUACGAGUAAAGAUGCUCGUUUCGCGCAGAAGGACGGAAAGACCCCGGGACCUUUACUAUAGCUUGGUAUUGGUGUUCGCUUGGACUUGUGUAGGAUAGGUGGGAGACUGUGAAGCUGCCGCGCCAGCGGUGGUGGAGUCGUCGUUGAAAUACCAUUCUGGUUUAAGCGGUCACCUUAACCUUGGCCCGUGAUCCGGGUUGGGGACAGUGCCUGGUGGGUAGUUUAACUGGGGCGGUUGCCUCCUAAAAUGUAACGGAGGCGCUCAAAGGUUCCCUCAGCCUGGUUGGUAAUCAGGUGGCGAGUGCAAGUGUACAAGGGAGCUUGACUGUGAGACCGACGGGUCGAGCAGGUGCGAAAGCAGGAACUAGUGAUCCGGCCAUGGCACGUGGGUGCGUGGUCGCUCAACGGAUAAAAGGUACCCCGGGGAUAACAGGCUGAUCUUGCCCAAGAGUCCAUAUCGACGGCAUGGUUUGGCACCUCGAUGUCGGCUCGUCGCAUCCUGGGGCUGGAGUCGGUCCCAAGGGUUGGGCUGUUCGCCCAUUAAAGCGGUACGCGAGCUGGGUUCAGAACGUCGUGAGACAGUUCGGUCCCUAUCCUCUGUGCGCGCAGGAAAUUUGAGGAGGGCCGUCCCUAGUACGAGAGGACCGGGAUGGACGAACCUCUGGUGUGCCAGUUGUACCGCCAGGUGCAUGGCUGGUUAGCUACGUUCGGAAGGGAUAACCGCUGAAAGCAUCUAAGCGGGAAGCCUGCUCCAAGAUGAGGUUUCCACGCCCCCCGUGGGGUGAGAGGCCCCCGCCAGACGAGCGGGUUGAUAGGCCAGAGGUGGAAGCACCGCAAGGUGCUCGUGAGCCGACUGGUACUAAUGGGCCAACACUAAACAAC
Molecule: ribosomal RNA, 1024 nt
Filed under: human oral metagenome
Description: bacterial LSU rRNA
Rfam family: Bacterial large subunit ribosomal RNA
Source: RNAcentral